AUACGUAGGGGGCGAGCGUUGUCCGGAAUGAUUGGGCGUAAAGGGCGCGUAGGCGGCGCGGUAAGUCUGGAGUGAAAGUCCUGCUUUCAAGGUGGGAAUUGCUUUGGAUACUGCCGCGCUUGAGUGCAGGAGAGGUUAUCGGAAUUCCCGGUGUAGCGGUGAAAUGCGUAGAGAUCGGGAGGAACACCAGUGGCGAAGGCGGGUAACUGGACUGCAACUGACGCUGAGGCGCGAAAGUGUGGGGAGCAAACAGGAUUAGAUACCCUGGUAGUCCACACUGUAAACGAUGAAUGCUAGGUGUAGGAGGUAUCGACCCCUUCUGUGCCGCAGUAAACACAGUAAGCAUUCCGCCUGGGGAGUACGGUCGCAAGAUUAAAACUCAAAGGAAUUGACGGGG
Molecule: ribosomal RNA, 397 nt
Filed under: uncultured bacterium
Lineage: Bacteria
Description: partial 16S ribosomal RNA
Rfam family: Bacterial small subunit ribosomal RNA
Source: RNAcentral